GCACCUAUCGUUCAACGGAUAGGACACGGGCCUCCGAAGCCUGAAAUGCAGGUUCGAUUCCUGCUGGGUGCA
This 72-nucleotide transfer RNA is filed under the name Candidatus Uhrbacteria bacterium. RNAcentral describes it as "tRNA-Arg". It matches the Rfam family "tRNA". Rfam says of the family: Transfer RNA (tRNA) molecules are approximately 80 nucleotides in length. Their secondary structure includes four short double-helical elements and three loops (D, anti-codon, and T loops). Lineage: Bacteria; Candidatus Uhriibacteriota. The record is from RNAcentral.